GAUGAACGCUGGCGGCGUGCCUAAUACAUGCAAGUCGAGCGAACAGACGAGGAGCUUGCUCCUCUGACGUUAGCGGCGGACGGGUGAGUAACACGUGGAUAACCUACCUAUAAGACUGGGAUAACUUCGGGAAACCGGAGCUAAUACCGGAUAAUAUAUUGAACCGCAUGGUUCAAUAGUGAAAGACGGUUUUGCUGUCACUUAUAGAUGGAUCCGCGCCGCACUAGCUAGUUGGUAAGGUAACGGCUUCCAAGGCAACGAUGCGUAGCCGACCUGAGAGGGUGAUCGGCCACACUGGAACUGAGACACGGUCCAGACUCCUACGGGAGGCAGCAGUAGGGAAUCUUCCGCAAUGGGCGAAAGCCUGACGGAGCAACGCCGCGUGAGUGAUGAAGGUCUUCGGAUCGUAAAACUCUGUUAUUAGGGAAGAACAAAUGUGUAAGUAACUAUGCACGUCUUGACGGUACCUAAUCAGAAAGCCACGGCUAACUACGUG
Molecule: ribosomal RNA, 496 nt
Filed under: uncultured bacterium
Lineage: Bacteria
Description: partial 16S ribosomal RNA
Rfam family: Bacterial small subunit ribosomal RNA
Source: RNAcentral